UUCGUAGGCGGUACAUCAAGUCUGGUGUUAAAGCCCGAGGCUCAACUUCGGAUCGGCACUGGAUACUGGUAAACUAGAAUGUGGUAGAGGUAAGGGGAAUUCCUGGUGUAGCGGUGAAAUGCGUAGAUAUCAGGAGGAACAUCGGUGGCGAAAGCGCCUUACUGGACCAUUAUUGACGCUGAGGAACGAAAGCCGGGGGAGCAAAUGGGAUUAGAUACCCCAGUAGUCCCGGCCGUAAACGAUGGAUACUAGGUGUUGCGGGUAUCGACCCCUGCAGUGCCGAAGCUAACGCGAUAAGUAUCCCGCCUGGGGAGUACGCACGCAAGUGUGAA
Molecule: ribosomal RNA, 332 nt
Filed under: uncultured bacterium
Lineage: Bacteria
Description: bacterial SSU rRNA
Rfam family: Bacterial small subunit ribosomal RNA
Source: RNAcentral